Molecule: ribosomal RNA, 253 nt
Filed under: uncultured bacterium
Lineage: Bacteria
Description: partial 16S ribosomal RNA
Rfam family: Bacterial small subunit ribosomal RNA
Source: RNAcentral
UACGUAGGUGGCAAGCGUUGUCCGGAUUUACUGGGCGUAAAGAGCGCGCAGGCGGUCGUUCAAGUCGCGUGUGAAAGCCCCCGGCUCAACUGGGGAGGGUCACGCGAUACUGAUCGACUCGAAGGCAGGAGAGGGUAGUGGAAUUCCCGGUGUAGUGGUGAAAUGCGUAGAUAUCGGGAGGAACACCGGUGGCGAAGGCGGCCAUCUGGACGGAUACUGACGCUGAGACGCGAAAGCGUGGGGAGCAAACAGG